ACGGAAGGCAGCAGUGGGGGAUAUUGCACAAUGGGCGAAAGCCUGAUGCAGCAAUGCCGCGUGAGGGAAGAAGGUUUUCGGAUUGUAAACCUCUGUCCCUGAUGACGAAGACAGUGACGGUAAUCAGGGAGGAAGCCACGGCUACUACGUGCCAGCAGCCGCGGUAAUACGUAGGUGGCAAGCGUUGUCCGGAAUUACUGGGUGUAAAGGGAGCGCAGGCGGGAGAGCAAGUCAGCGGUGAAAACUAUGGGCUUAACCCAUAGACUGCCGUUGAAACUGUUUUUCUUGAGUGAAGUAGAGGCAGGCGGAAUUCCGAGUGUAGCGGUGAAAUGCGUAGAUAUUCGGAGGAACACCAGUGGCGAAGGCGGCCUGCUGGGCUUUUACUGACGCUGAGGCUCGAAAGUGUGGGGAGCAAACAGGAUUAGAUACCCUGGUA
This 436-nucleotide ribosomal RNA is filed under the name uncultured Clostridiales Family IV bacterium. RNAcentral's name for it is "bacterial SSU rRNA". It matches the Rfam family "Bacterial small subunit ribosomal RNA", at positions 341 to 792 of the family's 1533-position model. The record is from RNAcentral. Lineage: Bacteria; Bacillati; Bacillota; Clostridia; Eubacteriales; Eubacteriales Family IV. Incertae Sedis.